ACAAACGACUCUCGGCAACGGAUAUCUCGGCCCUCGCAUCGAUGAAGAACGUAGCGAAAUGCGAUACCUGGUGUGAAUUGCAGAAUCCCGUGAACCAUCGAGUCUUUGAACGCAAGUUGCGCCUGAAGCCUUAUGGCUGAGGGCACGCCUGCCUGGGUGUCACUCA
This 166-nucleotide ribosomal RNA is filed under the name Trapa natans. RNAcentral's name for it is "5.8S ribosomal RNA". It matches the Rfam family "5.8S ribosomal RNA". Rfam says of the family: 5.8S ribosomal RNA (5.8S rRNA) is a component of the large subunit of the eukaryotic ribosome. It is transcribed by RNA polymerase I as part of the 45S precursor that also contains 18S and 28S rRNA. The record is from RNAcentral. Lineage: Eukaryota; Viridiplantae; Streptophyta; Magnoliopsida; Myrtales; Lythraceae.